Molecule: ribosomal RNA, 447 nt
Filed under: uncultured bacterium
Lineage: Bacteria
Description: partial 16S ribosomal RNA
Rfam family: Bacterial small subunit ribosomal RNA
Source: RNAcentral
UCCAGACUCCUACGGGAGGCAGCAGUGGGGAAUAUUGCACAAUGGGGGGAACCCUGAUGCAGCGACGCCGCGUGGGUGAAGGAGCACCUCGGUGCGUAAAGCCCUAUCGGCAGGGAAGAAACAGACGGUACCUGACUAAGAAGCCCCGGCUAACUACGUGCCAGCAGCCGCGGUAAUACGUAGGGGGCAAGCGUUAUCCGGAUUCACUGGGUGUAAAGGGAGCGUAGACGGCGACGCAAGUCUGGAGUGAAAGCCCGGGGCCCAACCCCGGGACUGCUCUUGGAACUGCGUGGCUGGAGUGCAGGAGGGGCAGGCGGAAUUCCUGGUGUAGCGGUGAAAUGCGUAGAUAUCAGGAGGAACACCGGUGGCGAAGGCGGCCUGCUGGACUGCAACUGACGUUGAGGCCCGAAAGCGUGGGGAGUAAACAGGAUUAGAUACCCGAGUAUG